Molecule: ribosomal RNA, 467 nt
Filed under: uncultured bacterium
Lineage: Bacteria
Description: partial 16S ribosomal RNA
Rfam family: Bacterial small subunit ribosomal RNA
Source: RNAcentral
GACGAACGCUGGCGGCGUGCUUAACACAUGCAAGUCGAACGGAAAGGCCCUGCUUUUGUGGGGUGCUCGAGUGGCGAACGGGUGAGUAACACGUGAGUAACCUGCCCUUGACUUUGGGAUAACUUCAGGAAACUGGGGCUAAUACCGGAUAGGAGCUCCUGCUGCAUGGUGGGGGUUGGAAAGUUUCGGCGGUUGGGGAUGGACUCGCGGCUUAUCAGCUUGUUGGUGGGGUAGUGGCUUACCAAGGCUUUGACGGGUAGCCGGCCUGAGGGGGUGACCGGCCAAAUUGGGAAGGAGAUACGGCCCAGAACCCUAGGGGGGGAAGGAGGGGGGAAUAUUGCAAAAGGGGGGGAAGCCUGAUGAAGAAAGGCCGGGGGGGGGAUGACGGCCUUGGGGUUGGAAACCUCUUUGGCCGGGAAGGAAGGGGGGGUGACGGAAAGGGGUAAAGAAGCACCGGCUAACUACGU